UCUAUAGGUUAAAUCCCUAACUUCCUACUCAGAUAAAUCAGCAGGAACACUCACAGCAAAAGGGAGAAAUCGCAGGCUGGCUCUCAUUAGUGAAAUGGGGACGAAUGGGUUGAAGAAAUAUUAAAUGAAAAUGGUGCUGAAAAAUCUAAAGCAGCAGUUAACCCCGUCCAACCCUACAUUUAUUGGGAUAUCACCAGAAAAAAUAUCUCAUGGAUCGUCAACAUGAAUGAUUCUUCAGACGCAAUGCCGUGAAAUGAAGGAAAAGAAGCAAAACUGGAACAUUAAUAAAUGAAAUGCAAAUUGUUCUU
This is a long non-coding RNA of Xenopus laevis (African clawed frog), 308 nucleotides long. RefSeq lists it as uncharacterized. The record is from RefSeq and is a predicted model, not a curated record. NCBI's taxonomy places the organism in Eukaryota, Metazoa, Chordata, Amphibia, Anura, Pipidae. The transcript is spliced from 2 exons.